GACGAACGCUGGCGGCGUGCUUAACACAUGCAAGUCGAACGGAAAGGCCCUGCUUUUGUGGGGUGCUCGAGUGGCGAACGGGUGAGUAACACGUGAGUAACCUGCCCUUGACUUUGGGAUAACUUCAGGAAACUGGGGCUAAUACCGGAUAGGAGCUCCUGCUGAAUGGUGGGGGUUGGAAAGUUUCGGCGGUUGGGGAUGGACUCGCGGCUUAUCAGCUUGUUGGUGGGGUAGUGGCUUACCAAGGCUUUGACGGGUAGCCGGCCUGAGAGGGUGACCGGCCACAUUGGGACUGAGAUACGGCCCAGACUCCUACGGGAGGCAGCAGUGGAGAAUAUUGCACAAUGGGCGGAAGCCUGAUGCAGCAACGCCGCGUGCGGGAUGACGGCCUUCGGGUUGUAAACCGCUUUCGCCUGUGACGAAGCGUGAGUGACGGUAAUGGGUAAAGAAGCACCGGCUAACUACGUG
RNAcentral lists this ribosomal RNA (468 nucleotides) under uncultured bacterium. RNAcentral describes it as "partial 16S ribosomal RNA". It matches the Rfam family "Bacterial small subunit ribosomal RNA", at positions 28 to 507 of the family's 1533-position model. The record is from RNAcentral.